RNAcentral lists this ribosomal RNA (700 nucleotides) under uncultured bacterium. Its description in RNAcentral is "bacterial SSU rRNA". It matches the Rfam family "Bacterial small subunit ribosomal RNA", at positions 111 to 823 of the family's 1533-position model. The record is from RNAcentral.
UAAUACAUAGGUAACCUACCCUUAAGACGAGGAUAGCCAUUGGAAACGAUGGAUAAAACUGGAUAGGAUAUAGAGGAAGAAUCUUUUAUAUUUAAAAGAGAGAUCUGCUUAAGGAGGGGCCUGUGGCGCAUUAGCUAGUUGGUGGGGUAAGGGCCUACCAAGGCGAUGAUGCGUAGCCGGACUGAGAGGUUGAACGGCCACAAUGGAACUGAGAACGGUCCAUACUCCUACGGGAGGCAGCAGUAGGGAAUUUUCGGCAAUGGGGGGAACCCUGACCGAGCAACGCCGCGUGAACGAAGAAGUUAUUCGUAAUGUAAAGUUCUUUUAUCAGGGAAGAAAGAGGAAUUUGACGGUACCUGAGGAAUAAGCUCCGGCUAACUACGUGCCAGCAGCCGCGGUAAUACGUAGGGAGCGAGCGUUAUCCGGAAUUAUUGGGCGUAAAGGGUGCGUAGAUGGCAUAGUAAGUCUUUUGUAAAAAUGCUGGGCUCAACCCAGUAGGGCAAAAGAUACUGCAAAGCUAGAGUAUGACAGAGGCAAGUGGAACUACAUGUGUAGCGGUAAAAUGCGUAAAUAUAUGUAAGAACACCAGUGGCGAAGGCGGCUUGCUGGGUCGAUACUGACAUUGAGGCACGAAAGCGUGGGGAGCAAACAGGAUUAGAUACCCUGGUAGUCCACGCCCUAAACGAUGAGUACUAAGUGU